RNAcentral lists this ribosomal RNA (827 nucleotides) under uncultured bacterium. RNAcentral describes it as "bacterial SSU rRNA". It matches the Rfam family "Bacterial small subunit ribosomal RNA", at positions 62 to 880 of the family's 1533-position model. The record is from RNAcentral.
UCGACGGUAACGGAAGCAGCUUGCUGCUUCGCUGACGAGUGGCGGACGGGUGAGUAAUGUCUGGGAAACUGCCUGAUGGAGGGGGAUAACUACUGGAAACGGUGGCUAAUACCGCAUAACGUCGCAAGACCAAAGAGGGGGACCUUCGGGCCUCUUGCCAUCAGAUGUGCCCAGAUGGGAUUAGCUUGUUGGUGAGGUAACGGCUCACCAAGGCGACGAUCCCUAGCUGGUCUGAGAGGAUGACCAGCCACACUGGAACUGAGACACGGUCCAGACUCCUACGGGAGGCAGCAGUGGGGAAUAUUGCACAAUGGGCGCAAGCCUGAUGCAGCCAUGCCGCGUGUAUGAAGAAGGCCUUCGGGUUGUAAAGUACUUUCAGCGGGGAGGAAGGUGUUGUGGUUAAUAACCGCAGCAAUUGACGUUACCCGCAGAAGAAGCACCGGCUAACUCCGUGCCAGCAGCCGCGGUAAUACGGAGGGUGCAAGCGUUAAUCGGAAUUACUGGGCGUAAAGCGCACGCAGGCGGUCUGUCAAGUCGGAUGUGAAAUCCCCGGGCUCAACCUGGGAACUGCAUUCGAAACUGGCAGGCUUGAGUCUUGUAGAGGGGGGUAGAAUUCCAGGUGUAGCGGUGAAAUGCGUAGAGAUCUGGAGGAAUACCGGUGGCGAAGGCGGCCCCCUGGACAAAGACUGACGCUCAGGUGCGAAAGCGUGGGGAGCAAACAGGAUUAGAUACCCAGGUAGUCCACGCCGUANACGAUGUCUACUUGGAGGUUNUGCCCUUGAGGCGUGGCUUCCGGAGCUAACGCGUUAAGUAGACCGCCUGGGGAG